AUUAAGUGCCAUUCAUUUGAAAUGGAGAGAGGGAAUCAGGUGAGAGUCCUGAGCGAUCCGGUCACUGUGACAGGGGAACGAGAUUCCGAGAUCCCAUUGUGCUUAGAGUAUGAGAAGGGGGAAUCGAGUAGCGAUCCUGGAGCCAGGAAACCUGCUUAAUA
Molecule: non-coding RNA, 161 nt
Filed under: uncultured Blautia sp.
Lineage: Bacteria; Bacillati; Bacillota; Clostridia; Lachnospirales; Lachnospiraceae
Source: RNAcentral